This 429-nucleotide ribosomal RNA is filed under the name Bacteroidota bacterium. RNAcentral describes it as "Bacteroidetes bacterium partial 16S ribosomal RNA". It matches the Rfam family "Bacterial small subunit ribosomal RNA", at positions 355 to 776 of the family's 1533-position model. The record is from RNAcentral. Lineage: Bacteria; Pseudomonadati; Bacteroidota.
UAGGGAAUCUUCCGCAAUGGACGCAAGUCUGACGGAGCAACGCCGCGUGAGUGAAGAAGGAUUUCGGUUCGUAAAACUCUGUUGUUAGAGAAGAACAGCGCAUAGAGUAACUGUUAUGCGUGUGACGGUAUCUAACCAGAAAGCCACGGCUAACUACGUGCCAGCAGCCGCGGUAAUACGUAGGUGGCAAGCGUUGUCCGGAUUUAUUGGGCGUAAAGCGAGCGCAGGCGGUCAAUUAAGUCUGAUGUGAAAGCCCCCGGCUCAACCGGGGGGGGUCAUUGGAAACUGGUUGACUUGAGUGCAGAAGAGGAGAGUGGAAUUCCAUGUGUAGCGGUGAAAUGCGUAGAUAUAUGGAGGAACACCAGUGGCGAAGGCGACUCUCUGGUCUGUAACUGACGCUGAGGUUCGAAAGCGUGGGUAGCAAACAGG